This 1467-nucleotide ribosomal RNA is filed under the name uncultured Bordetella sp. RNAcentral's name for it is "partial 16S-23S ribosomal RNA intergenic spacer". It matches the Rfam family "Bacterial small subunit ribosomal RNA". The record is from RNAcentral. Lineage: Bacteria; Pseudomonadati; Pseudomonadota; Betaproteobacteria; Burkholderiales; Alcaligenaceae.
GGUCUGAUCAUGGCUCAGAUUGAACGCUGGCGGGGAUGCUUUACACAUGCAAGUCGAACGGUAGCACGGACUUCGGUCUGGUGGCGAGUGGCGAACGGGUGAGUAAUGUAUCGGAACGUGCCUAGUAGCGGGGGAUAACUACGCGAAAGCGUGGCUAAUACCGCAUACGCCCUUCGGGGGAAAGCGGGGACCUUCGGGCCUCGCACUAUUAGAGCGGCCGAUAUCGGAUUAGCUAGUUGGUGUAACGGCUCACCAAGGCGACGAUCCGUAGCUGGUUUGAGAGGACGACCAGCCACACUGGGACCGAGACACGGCCCAGACUCCUACGGGAGGCAGCAGGGAAUGGACAAUGGGGGAAACCCUGAUCCAGCCAUCCGCAAAGAUGAAGGCCUUCGGGUUGUAAAACACUUUUGGCAGGAAAAGAAAUGGCACGGGAUAAUACCCCGCAACUGACGGCAACGCGAGAAUAAGCACCGGCUAAUCAUUGCGCCAGCAGCCGCGGUAAUACGUAGGUGCAAGCGCUAAUCGGAAUUACUGGGCGCAGCGCGUGCAGGCGGUUCGGAAAGAAAGAUGUGAAAUCCCAGAGCUUAACUUCUUCUUGGAACUGCAUUUUUAACUACCGAGCUAGAGUGUGUCAGAGGGAGGUGGAAUUCGCGUGUAGCAGUGAAAUGCGUAGAGAUAUGCGGAGGAACACCGAUGGCGAAGGCAGCCUCCUGGGAUAACACUGACGCUCAUGCACGAAAGCGUGGGGAGCAAACAUUGAGAUAUCCUGGUAGUCCACGCCCUAAACGAUGUCAAUUCAGCUGGGGCCUUCGGGCCUUGGUAGCGCAGCUAACGCGGUGAAGUUGACCGCCUGGGGAGUACGGUCGCAAGAUUAAAACUCAAAGGAAUUGACGGGACCCGCACAAGCGGUGGAUGAUGUGGAUUAAUUCGAUGCAACGCGAAAACCUUACCUACCUGACAUGUCUGAAUCCUGAAGAGAUUUGGGAGUGCUCGCAAGAGAACCGGAACACAGGUGCUGCAUGGCUGUCGUCAGCUCGUGUCGUGAGAUGUUGGGUUAAGUCCCGCAACGAGCGCAACCCUUGUCAUUAGUUGCUACGAAAGGGCACUCUAAUGAGACUGCCGGUGACAAACCGGAGGAAGGUGGGGAUGAGGUUUGUCUCAAGGAUUCUAAGGGUAGGGCUUCACACGUCAUACAAUGGUCGGGACAGAGGGUCGCCAACCCGCGAGGGGAGCCAAUCCCAGAAACCCGAUCGUAGUCCGGAUCGCAGUCUGCAACUCGACUGCGUGAAGUCGGAAUCGCUAGUAAUCGCGGAUCAGCAUGUCGCGGUGAAUACGUUCCCGGGUCUUGUACACACCGCCCGUCACACCAUGGGAGUGGGUUUUACCAGAAGUAGUUGGCCUAACCGUAAGGAGGGCGAUUACCACGGUAGGAUUCACACUGGGGUGAAGUCGUAACAAGGUAAC